Molecule: ribosomal RNA, 465 nt
Filed under: Vreelandella stevensii
Lineage: Bacteria; Pseudomonadati; Pseudomonadota; Gammaproteobacteria; Oceanospirillales; Halomonadaceae
Description: partial 16S ribosomal RNA
Rfam family: Bacterial small subunit ribosomal RNA
Source: RNAcentral
CCUACGGGCGGCAGCAGUGGGGAAUAUUGGACAAUGGGCGAAAGCCUGAUCUAGCCAUGCCGCGUGUGUGAAGAAGGCCUUCGGGUUGUAAAGCACUUUCGGUGGGGAAGAAAGCCUUGGGGCUAAUACCCUCGAGGAAGGACAUCACCCACAGAAGAAGCACCGGCUAACUCCGUGCCAGCAGCCGCGGUAAUACGGAGGGUGCGAGCGUUAAUCGGAAUUACUGGGCGUAAAGCGCGCGUAGGCGGUCUGAUAAGCCGGUUGUGAAAGCCCCGGGCUCAACCUGGGAACGGCAUCCGGAACUGUCAGGCUAGAGUGCAGGAGAGGAAGGUAGAAUUCCCGGUGUAGCGGUGAAAUGCGUAGAGAUCGGGAGGAAUACCAGUGGCGAAGGCGGCCUUCUGGACUGACACUGACGCUGAGGUGCGAAAGCGUGGGUAGCAAACAGGAUUAGAUACCCCUGUAGUC